AAUAUUGCACAAGUGGGGGAAACCCUGAUGCAGCCAUGCCGCGUGUGUGAAGAAGGCCUUCGGGUUGUAAAGCACUUUCAGUAGGGAGGAAGGUAGUGUAGUUAACACCUGCAUUAUUUGACGUUACCUACAGAAGAAGCACCGGCUAACUCCGUGCCAGCAGCCGCGGUAAUACGGAGGGUGCGAGCGUUAAUCGGAAUUACUGGGCGUAAAGCGCAUGCAGGCGGCCUGUUAAGUCAGAUGUGAAAGCCCCGGGGCUUAACCUCGGAAUUGCAUUUGAAACUGGCAGGCUAGAGUCUUGUAGAGGGGGUAGAAUUUCAGGUGUAGCGGUGAAAUGCGUAGAGAUCUGAAGGAAUACCAGUGGCGAAGGCGGCCCCCUGGACAAAGACUGACGCUCAGAUGCGAAAGCGUGGGGAGCAAACAGGAUUAGAUACCCUGGUAG
This 442-nucleotide ribosomal RNA is filed under the name uncultured bacterium. RNAcentral describes it as "bacterial SSU rRNA". It matches the Rfam family "Bacterial small subunit ribosomal RNA", at positions 360 to 793 of the family's 1533-position model. The record is from RNAcentral.